UACGGAGGGAGCUAGCGUUGUUCGGAAUUACUGGGCGUAAAGCGCACGUAGGCGGCUUUGUAAGUUAGAGGUGAAAGCCCGGGGCUCAACCCCCGGAAUUGCCUUUAAGACUGCAUCGCUUGAAUCCAGGAGAGGUGAGUGGAAUUCCGAGUGUAGAGGUGAAAUUCGUAGAUAUUCGGAAGAACACCAGUGGCGAAGGCGGCUC
RNAcentral lists this ribosomal RNA (205 nucleotides) under uncultured bacterium. RNAcentral's name for it is "partial 16S ribosomal RNA". It matches the Rfam family "Bacterial small subunit ribosomal RNA", at positions 524 to 727 of the family's 1533-position model. The record is from RNAcentral.